RNAcentral lists this ribosomal RNA (229 nucleotides) under uncultured prokaryote. RNAcentral's name for it is "partial 16S ribosomal RNA". It matches the Rfam family "Bacterial small subunit ribosomal RNA", at positions 26 to 250 of the family's 1533-position model. The record is from RNAcentral.
AGAUUGAACGCUGGACGGCAUGCCUAACACAUGCAGGUCGAGCGGCAGCCGCGGGGGCGACCCUGGCGGCGAGCGGCGGACGGGUGAGUAAGGCAUCGGAAUCUGCCCUGGAUGUCGGGGGAUAACGUAGGGAAAACUUACGCUAAUACCGCAUACCGACCGAGAGGUGAAAGCGGGGGACCGAAAGGCCUCGCGCAGCAGGACUGAGCCGAUGUCCGAUUAGCUGGUU